GUCUCCUGACCGCGGUGGUGGCUGCAGUGGUUCCCUGGGCUUCCUGGCCCGGAGCUGGGCACCCAUUAUUCCCCCGCCCUGCGCAGCCUGGGGCUCCCGCUUGGCUUUCGGCGAGCCUACCGCGCCGGUGAGGAAACCCUGACUCGUUUGCAAACUGGGCGGGGAAGCAAAGUUUAGAGAAAUGGAGCUUUGUUAGAUAAAAAUUUUUUCAACGCAAACAGUCAUUUUCCAGUGAAAGGAGAGCGUAUCCGCCGUAGGAUGGACUUAGAUCGUGUAAAAGCUGAGGCCACCGAGGAUAUAACCUCCGGGGUCCUUUGCCUCCUUUUCCUUAGACUCCCUCCAAACUCGUGUAUCUUUCCUUCAGCAGUACUGGGCUCCACGCGAACCUAGUCCUUUGUCUUUACCCUAUUACCUUUCAUAACAUCCUAGUUGAAAAGUAGUUAUUCAACCGCGUUUGAAAAUGAGAACAGGUUCACAGAGGCUAGGUUACUUGCGAAGGUCGUUCAAUUAGUAACCAGUAGCGCCAGGACUGCCAGUUUCUUGCUUCCGAAUUCUCAUGGUAGCUUUCACCAGGCUCCCCGUCAAAUGCUAACGUCAACUACUGAACUAGAUUAGCAAAAAGGUCUUUUAACAGAAUUCCUGGUUUUCAGAGAGAGUUUCUUUCAUGAAGCGCCCCAUUUCUACAGAGGAAAAUCAAAAUGAAUCCUAAGCCAGUUGAAAGGAGGGAUAGGAUCAUAGUCAUCUUUAUCCCAAGUUGCCAGAUUUGAAAGAUUUUAUUUUCUCAAGACAAAAUAUUUGAAAUGGCAAAUAUUUCAAAUAUUUUGAAUAUUUGAACCACACAAUUUCGCAUUCAUGGCAUACUACUUGUGCUCUGAGCUGAAAGCCUUUUAGGUUAAAUAAAGUAAGUGGAGAUACAUCCGAAGCAGCAGUGUUGAGCUCAGAAAAACAAUACCCCAAAAUACGGCGCUUUGGUAUGCUGACUAUUUUGAACUAAAAGAGACUGGAAGGCCUCAGGCACAGUCUCUCCGACCUUUUCCUGCCCUCCUGUCUCCCAGCCUUCUUUCUUCCCCAAGGCAAGCCAUAGAAACCAGAAUUCCUCUUCCCCAAGAUGAGUCACAGAAACUAGAAGCCCUCUCCCCCAAAGCCAGCCAUAAAACCUAAACUUCCCCCCACCUUUCUAUGUAAGAGCUGGCCGUGGCCUGGCGCGGUGGCUCACGCCUGUAAUCCCAGCACUUUGGGAGGCCGAGGCCAGCAGAUCACCAGAGGUCGGGAGUUCGAGACCAGCCCAACCAACAUGGAGAAACCCUGUGUCUUCUAAAAAUACAAAAUUAGCCGGGCAUGGUAGUGCAUGCCUGUAAUCCCAGCUAUUCGGGAGGCUGAGGCAGGAGAAUCGCUUGAACCCGGGAGACAGAGGUUGCUGUGAGCCGAGAUCACGCCAUUGCACUCCAGCCUGGGCAACAGGAGGGAAACUCAGUCCAAAAAACAAGCUGGCCGUAAAGAACUUCUCUGGCCUACCUUGUCUGAUAGGCCGUAAGACCCUCAUUCUGGAAGAGAUCCUGCCUCAUACCUGGGAGGAAGGAAUGCUACACAGAAAGACCUCGUUGGGUUUCCACCUGCUGUCUGUUACUAUUAAGUGGCACACUUUUUGCCCAACCACAUUACUGCAGGCUGUCCAUUUUUCAUAGAAUCUAAGCAUUAAAAACAAGUUUUCCCUGGCUCUUUGGGUAGCCAUUUCUGAAGGCUCCCAUGUCAUGUAAAACUUUGAUUAAAUAAACUUCUUAGUUUAUUUUAGAUUUUUCUCUUAACCUAUCUUGUUAUACGAGCUCUGACCCUUAUGAUGAGGAAGAAAGGCAUCACAACUUUUCAGCCCCUACAACAGCUAACUAGUAUGCAAAUAUAAAGUCAGAGUAAGAGCUCAGUAUAUUUUGUUGAAUUAUUAAUCCCAUAACCUGACGAUUGUCAGUCCCUGUUUAUUAAUCAUCUGGAACUUAGAAGGGCAGAUUCUCCCAAACAGUAACUGCCAACUCUACCCCUCUUAGGCAAGAAACAGAUUCUUUUCAAGUCACUGACAUUGCAGUGUCUUGAAAUCUGUUUCAGCCGUGCCUUUUCAACCCAUAGUUAUUUUCUGAGAAUUGCUCCACCCACAUGGGUAGCCCCUGUAGCCAGGUUUGCUCUAUAUCCCUUUGCUUCUCAGAAACAUGGAAGUGGACAAAGGGAGAAGCAAAGAAAGCUGAACUACAGAGGGAGAGAAAAAUAGAUCUACUAAGGGAAAGCAACAGGAGACUCCGUAGUUCUUGUUUCCCUCCCCCUUGUGAGGCCCACUCUCCUUUCUACCCUUGGCCUGUAGGGGAGGCCUUGGCUGCCUUCCAGAGAAUUCUCCCCC
RNAcentral lists this long non-coding RNA (2383 nucleotides) under Homo sapiens (human). Its description in RNAcentral is "non-protein coding lnc-OBSL1-8:1". Lineage: Eukaryota; Metazoa; Chordata; Mammalia; Primates; Hominidae. The record is from RNAcentral.